This 253-nucleotide ribosomal RNA is filed under the name uncultured bacterium. Its description in RNAcentral is "partial 16S ribosomal RNA". It matches the Rfam family "Bacterial small subunit ribosomal RNA", at positions 524 to 776 of the family's 1533-position model. The record is from RNAcentral.
UACGGAGGGGGCUAGCGUUGUUCGGAAUUACUGGGCGUAAAGCGCGCGUAGGCGGACCUGCAAGUCGGGGGUGAAAGCCCGAGGCUCAACCUCGGAACUGCCUUCGAUACUGCGGGUCUCGAGUCCGGGAGAGGUGAGUGGAAUUCCUAGUGUAGAGGUGAAAUUCGUAGAUAUUAGGAAGAACACCAGUGGCGAAGGCGGCUCACUGGCCCGGUACUGACGCUGAGGCGCGACAGCGUGGGGAGCAAACAGG